RNAcentral lists this ribosomal RNA (651 nucleotides) under endosymbiont of Sphenophorus levis. RNAcentral's name for it is "bacterial SSU rRNA". It matches the Rfam family "Bacterial small subunit ribosomal RNA", at positions 358 to 1001 of the family's 1533-position model. Lineage: Bacteria; Pseudomonadati; Pseudomonadota; Gammaproteobacteria. The record is from RNAcentral.
AGAAUUUGCACAUGGGGGAAACCUGAUGCAGCUAUACCGCGUGUGUGAUGAAGGUCUUAGGAUUGUAAAACACUUUCAGCAAGGGAAAAAAUUAAUAUAAAUAAUACUUAUAUUAACUGAUAUUACCUGCAAAAGAAGUACCGGCUAACUCCGUGCCAGCAGCCGCGGUAAUACGGAGGGUACAAGCGUUAAUCGGAAUUAUUGGGCGUAAAGAGUACGUAGGUGGUAUAUUAAGUCAGAUGUGAAAUACUUAAGCUUAACUUAAGAACUGCAUUUGAAACUAAUAAACUAGAGUUUUAUAGAGGGGAGUAGAAUUCCAAGUGUAGCGGUGAAAUGCGUAGAUAUUUGGAGGAAUACCAGAGGCGAAGGCGACUCCCUGGGUAAUAACUGACACUGAGGUACGAAAGCUUGGGGAGCAAACAGGAUUAGAUACCCUGGUAGUCCAUGCUGUAAACGAUGUCAAUUUGAAGAUUGUAAUAUUAUUAUUUUUUAUAAUUUUCGUAGCUAACGCAUUAAAUUGACCGCCUGGGGAUUACGACCGCAAGGUUAAAACUCAAAUGAAUUGACGGGGACCCGACAAGCGGUGGAGCAUGUGGUUAAAUUCGAUACAACGCGAAAAACUUACCUACUCUGACAUCUAUAGUAUAAGCA